GCCUGGCUGGUUCAGUUGGUGGAACAUGUGACUUUCAAUCUCAGAGUCGUGGGUUCAAGCCCCACAUUGGGCA
Hyaena hyaena (striped hyena) is the source of this 73-nucleotide non-coding RNA. Lineage: Eukaryota; Metazoa; Chordata; Mammalia; Carnivora; Hyaenidae. The record is from the annotation of a RefSeq genome assembly.